GAUGAGAUAUGAGGGUCGGCACAAGGCACAGGUCAUAAAGACCUUGCUGAUAAAACAGGCUGCAGUAAAGACGCCUGCUAAAACCCACCAAACCAAGAUGGCCACGAGAAUGACCUAGGUCAUCCUCAUUGCUACACUCUCACCAGCGCCAUGACAGUUUACAAAUGCCAUGGCAAUGUCAGGAACUUACCCUAUAUGGUCUAAAAUGGGGAGGCUUGAAUAAUCUACCCCUCGUUUAGCAUACAAUCAAGAAAUAAAAUAAAAAUGGGGCCGGACGCAGUGGCUCACGCCUGUAAUCCCAGCACUUUGAGAGGCCGAGACGGGUGGAUCACCAGGUCAGGAGAUUGAGACCAUUCUGGCUAACACGGUGAAACCCCGUCUCUACUAAAAAAUACAAAAAACUAGCCGGGCAUGGUGGCGGGUGCCUGUAGUCCCAGCUACUUGGGAGGCUGAGGCAGGAGAAUGGCAUGAACCCAGGAGGUGGAGCUUGCAGUGAGCUGAGAUCGUGCCACUGCACUACAGCCUGGGCAACAGAGAGAGACUCCGUCUCAAAAAAAAAAAAAAUUAGCUGGGCAUGGUAGUGCAUGCCUGUAAUCUCAGCUACUUGGGAGGCUGAAGCAGAAGAAUUGCUUGAACCUGGGAGGCAGAGGUUGCAGUGAGCCAAGAUCACGGCAUUAUACUUGACGGAGCAAGAUUCUGUCCAAAAAAAGAAAAAGGCUUAAAUAAAAUAUUUUUUGUCAGAAAAGUAAAAAGUGUAAUGCCUUUUAGUUCACAUGACUUAAGUAAUCUUUGGGAAAUAAAAACAGUUUUACAUGCAAGGUGUGUAAAGAAACUGAAAUAUGUUUUUCAUAAAAGAUUAUAAGAAGUCAGUCAGGCAUGGUGGCUCAUGCCUGUAAUCCUAGAACUUUGGGAGGCCGAGGCAGACAGAUCACGAGGUCAGGAAUUUGAGACCAGCCUAGCCAACAUGAUGAAACCCUGUCUCUACUAAAAUACAAAAAAUUAGUCAGGCAUGGUGAUGCGUGCCUGUAGUCCCAUCUACUCAGGAGGCUGAGGCAAGGGAAUCACUUGAACCCAGGAGGCAAAGAUUGCAGUGAGCCGAGAUCGCACCACUGAGCUCCAGCCUGGUGACAGAGCAAGACUCCGUCUCAAAAAAAAAUAAUAAAUAAAUAAAUAAGAAGUCACGGGAAUGUGGAUUUUUUUUUCGCCUAAAGGGUUAAAGGAUUGUUUAAGUUAAAUAGAAUAAAACUGAAAGUUUAAGAGUUUGUUAAUCUUGUAAAUGAAAUUCUGUGUGUGAACAUACUGGCUAAAGUUAAGAGGGUAUUAUUCAGUUUUUCUGUAAAUUAAAUAUUAGAAUAAAAGUACAGUAAGUUUUUCUUAGAGCACUAAUCUGCUCUUCAACAAAAAAAAUUACAAAGGGUUGGCCAGUCACGUUGGCUCAUGUCUGUAAUCCCAGCACUUUGGGAGGCCGAGGUGGGCGGAUCACCUGAGGUUGGGAGUUCGAGACCAGCCUGACCAACAAGGAGAAACCCCAUCUCUACUAAAAAUACAAAAUUAGCCAGGUGUGGUGGUGCAUGCCUGUAAUCCCAGCUACUCGGGAGGCUGAGGCAGGAGAAUAGCUCGAACCCAGGAGGCAGAGGUUGCGGUGAGCCAAGAUCGUGCCACUGCACUCCUGCCUGGGAAACAAGAGCACAACUCCAUCUCAAAAAAAAAAAAAAUUUUAAAGGGUUAUAAAAGGUUAAUGAAAAUCUUACCUUAUGGUCAGGCAUUAAAGUUGGAUAGAUUUGUCUAUAAGGUUUUAUUAAGAAUUGGGUUUAACAUUAAUAGUAUACUAAUGCAAAGUGAAGUUUGGCUUAUUUGGUAUAUAAAUCAUAAAGGAAGCAUUGUCAAAUAUGAAAUAGUGUUUGGCUUUCAUUGGGCUGUAUUUGCAUAAAUAUGUUAUUGAGGCCAGGCGUGGUGGCUCAAGCCUGUAAUCCCAGCACUGUGGGAGGCCAAGGCAGGCGGAUCACCUGAAGUCAGGAGUUCAAGACCAGCCUGGCCAACAUGGUGAAACCCCAUCUCUACUAAAAAUACAAAAAUUAGCUAGGCAUGGUAGUGCACACCUGUAGUCCCAGCUAUCUGAGAGGCUGAGGCAGGAGAAUUGCUUGAACCCUGGAGCCAGAGGUUGCAGUGAGCUGAGAUCAUUGUGCCACUGCACUCCAGGCUGGGUGACAAAGCAAGAUUCUGUCUCAAAAAUAAAUAAAUAAAUAAACAAAAAUAUGUUAUUGGUAUAUGUUCCAAAAUUAUGGAAAACUCCUAUAAUUCUGUCAUGACUUAGUGUAUGUUACUAAUAAUUACAAUUGUUAUGUAAAAUUGUUACAUGCCACUGUGGUAACCAAAUUUCUUUGUCAGUUGUGUUUUUGACUGUGGCUGCCUUAAAACAUUUUGUCAUCCACAGACAACUGUUGUCUUGUUUUAAUCCUCUUUCAAAGGUGGUUUUAAUCAGCUAUAGGAAUUUGAAAAGUGCUCUUGAAUGCAGGUUUCUAAUAACUUUGGAGACUGUGACAUUAGAAUUGAGGAAAAACUUUCAGGACUCAUGCAAAGCUGAAAUGUUCAUGAAUGUCAAUCAGAACAGAAGUUAACUGCAUGGACUGAACUAAUAGAAGACUAAAGUAAUCUUUUUGACUUUGCUUAAAACAUUGCUGAUCCCUUGUUUUGUUGUUCAGAGUCAAGAAAACUUUUCUUUUGAGCUAUUUACAUCUUUUAAAAAUUGAGUAAAGUAUACUCCUGUGAACAAAAUUUAGACCGUAUUUGUUUCACUCUACCUAAUUUCUCAGAAUUUGGAAACUAUUUGUGAGUAUUCUCAACUUAUGGCAAUAUAAUUAUUUGCAUAAGUGCAAUAAGAAUCUGUUUCUUUUUGCAAUAGGACACAGUUGGAGAAAUUGGUUAUUUUACCAAGGCUUUGACUGGAAUGGUAUGUUUUCCUUUAAAGAAUCAAAUUUGACUAACAGAGCCAAUAAAAGCCCCAUGAGAAAACUGGCCUCAUACCUUGGCUACAGACUCUGUACAGGGUUCUUGACCUGUGGUAAUUAAAGAAUGUCACUUUCUGACAGGCCCAGGAGCCCCAAGUUAUCUUGGAACCUCAAGAGGAGAGAAAUUUACCCAACUUACAGGUACUUCAGGAUACAAACCCAUGGCUGGGCUCAGCUUUAAAAAAGUAUUAUCUAAGAUUUCUUAAGAAGCAGACUUCCAUCAAAGCCAAUUUUAAAAGCCUAUGUAAAAAAAUAUUUAUUCUUGCUGCACUUUAUACAAAUAAUCAGUCCAAGUAUAAUAAAGCAAAUCGGUCUUACCAUGAUUUGUCUUUAGUAAAAAUGAAAGACUGGAGAGAGGAAAAAAAUAUAUGUUUCAAAAACUAUGGUUAGGCUGGGCAUGGUGGCUCACACCUGGAAUCCCAGCACUUUGGGAGGCUGAGGUGGGUGGAUCACUUGAGGUCAGCAGUUCAAAACCAGCCUGACCAACAUGGUGAAACCUCAUCUCUAUUAAAAAAAAAUACAAAAAUUAGCCAGGCAUGGUGGUGUGUGCCUAUAAUCCCAGAUACUCGGGAGGUUGAGACAGGAGGAUUGCCUGAACCCAGCAGGUGGAGGUUGCAAUGAGCCGAGAUUGCACCACUGCCCUCCAGCUUGGGCAACAGAGUAAGACUCUGUCUCAAAAAAAAAAAAAAGAAAGAAAGAAAAAAAAAACCUAUGGUUAUUAGGUUCUAGUCUCAUCAGUUGUGUUUACGUUUUUUCCUGCAAUUUAGACUGACCCUACUUAUUUCUAUUAACCAACUAGUGAUCUCUGGUGCAGCUCAGAAGAAACAAGAGAUAUAGGUAAUGUAAAAACCUGGAUCAAUAUUCUAAUUCUGGGCAUAUAUUGGAAUCAGCUAGCAAUCCCAUAUCAGCUUGGUUCCAACAGUUGCCCAGUUCAUGAAAAGCCUUCUAAUUUAGUUUAUUUGGAAUAAUUUCACUUAUUUUGCUUUACCGUUGUGGAAUACAUUGCUGUUGUACUCUUUGUGUAGAAACGCACAAUAAGCUUACUGAAUGUUUUCUUAAAUUGAACACUUAUUAAUCUUCCAGAUAUUACCUUUUGUUGGAACUCAAGAGACAUGAAUGGCCUUGCCAUACUGCUGCUUUCUGACUGAGCUCCUCUCUACCCUGAAUACAAGAGACCCUCAUAGUUAGGCAGGAAUAUAAUCGACCUAUUCAGCAUGAAGAAGUUACAGAAGAUGGAUUUUCAUCCCUUUGCAACCCUUAUGAUUAAGGGCUCUUUUAUAAAAGGGAGGGAGAAAUAUCAGAGGCAUUUGAACCACAGUAACUCCAUCUUGAAUAGGGGCCAGGUAAAAUAAGGCUAAGACCUGCUGGGCUGCAUUCCCAGACAGUUAGGCAUUCUAAGUCACUGGAUGAGAUGUGAGGGUCAGCACAAGGCACAGGUCAUAAAGACCUUGCUGAUAAAACAUGCUCAAGUAAAGAAGCCUGCUAACACCCACCAAACCAAGAUGGCCAUGAGAGUGACCCACCUCGUCCUCAUUGCUACAUUCCCUCCAGUGCCUUGACAAUUUACAAAUGCCACGGUAAUGUCAGGAAGUUACCCUAUAUGGUCUAAAAAGGGGAGGCAUGAAUAAUCUGUCAGGCCUCUGAGCCCAAGCUAAGCCAUCAUAUCCCCUGUGACCUGCAUGUAUACAUCCAGAUGGCCUGAAGCAACUGAAGAUCCACAAAAGAACUGAAAACAGCCUUAACUGAUGACAUUCCACCAUUGUGAUUUGUUCCUGCCCCACCCUAAGUGAUAGGCUAUGUUCUCCCCCGCCCUUAAGAAGGUACUUUGUAAUAUUCUCCCCCGCCCUUAAGAAUGUACUUUGUACACCUAUCCCAAACGUAUAAAAACUAAUGAUAAUCCCACCAACCUUUGCUGACUCCUUUCUCGGACUCAGCCCACCUGCACCCAGGUGAAAUAAACAGCCCUGUUGCUCACACAAAGCCUGUUGGUGGUCUCUUCACAAGGAUGCGUGUGACAUUUGGUGCCAAAACCCAGGACAGGAGGACUCCUUCAGGAGACCAGUCCCCUGUCUUCGCCCUCACUCCGUGACCUCAGGUCCUCAGACCAACCAGCCCAAGGAACAUCUCACCAACUUCAAAUUGGGACCCCACUGGAAAUCAGACUGUCCAACUCACCCAGCAGCCACUCCCAGAGCCCCUGGAACUCUGGCCCAAGGCUCUCUGACUGACUCCUUCCCAGAUCGUCUCAGCUUAGCGGCUGAAGACUGACACUGCCCGAUCGCCUCGGAAGCCUACAGGACCAUCACAGAUGCUCUGGAUAACUCUUACAGUGGAGGGAACCCACCAGCCAUCCUGGUUGAUUAUGAAUGAGGCUGUCCAGCCCUGUCUGAGCUCAGCACCUCCACCAUCCCCUGGGCAUUUCUACAAGACGUUCUGUAUGCAGGGGGGACCCAGGUUAAGACCCAAACUGGUUCAAUUGGCAUCUGACGCCCUUUGCAAAUGGCUCUACUCUCCUUCAUCAAUCCAUCACCCAAAGACAGCCUGAUCUAAAAGGAUAGAUUCUUCACACAUGCCAUCCGCACUCCUGCCUUCAUAUGAAGUUACUCCUACUUUUUGGCCACCUCUCCUUCGAAGCCCAGCCUCAACUCCCACCUCCUCCUUCAUGAAGCCCUCCCCAGCCACAUAAGUUCUCAGUAGUCAUUUCUCUGAAUUUUGAGUGUCUUCCUGUCUAUAUAAUGUGUCUGGCACUUUAAGAAACAUUAGACUGUUUUGGAAAAUGCCUUGGGCUUUGGAAUAAAAUAGAGCUGGUGAUGUUACUGA
This is a long non-coding RNA of Homo sapiens (human), 5828 nucleotides long. RefSeq lists it as uncharacterized. NCBI's taxonomy places the organism in Eukaryota, Metazoa, Chordata, Mammalia, Primates, Hominidae. The transcript is spliced from 4 exons. The record is from RefSeq and is a predicted model, not a curated record.